CCUACGGGUCGCAGCAGUAGGGAAUCUUCCGCAAUGGACGAAAGUCUGACGGAGCAACGCCGCGUGGGUAAUGAAGGCUUUCGGGUCGUAAAACUCUGUCGUUAGGGAAGAACAAGUGCUAGUUGAAUAAGCUGGCACCUUGACGGUACCUAACCAGAAAGCCACGGCUAACUACGUGCCAGCAGCCGCGGUAAUACGUAGGUGGCAAGCGUUAUCCGGAAUUAUUGGGCGUAAAGCGCGCGCAGGUGGUUUCUUAAGUCUGAUGUGAAAGCCCACGGCUCAACCGUGGAGGGUCAUUGGAAACUGGGAGACUUGAGUGCAGAAGAGGAAAGUGGAAUUCCAUGUGUAGCGGUGAAAUGCGUAGAGAUAUGGAGGAACACCAGUGGCGAAGGCGACUUUCUGGUCUGUAACUGACACUGAGGCGCGAAAGCGUGGGGAGCAAACAGGAUUAGAUACCCCCGUAGUC
This 466-nucleotide ribosomal RNA is filed under the name uncultured bacterium. RNAcentral describes it as "bacterial SSU rRNA". It matches the Rfam family "Bacterial small subunit ribosomal RNA", at positions 338 to 795 of the family's 1533-position model. The record is from RNAcentral.